GGAGGGUACGCGAAUGGUUAGCAGCCACACUGGAAAUGUGGUGCCCCGGUUUUUCGGGGUUGCGGGUUCGAAUCCCGUGCCCUCCG
This 86-nucleotide transfer RNA is filed under the name Planctomycetota bacterium. RNAcentral's name for it is "Planctomycetes bacterium (hot springs metagenome) tRNA-Ser". It matches the Rfam family "tRNA". From Rfam's summary of the family: Transfer RNA (tRNA) molecules are approximately 80 nucleotides in length. Their secondary structure includes four short double-helical elements and three loops (D, anti-codon, and T loops). Further hydrogen bonds mediate the characteristic L-shaped molecular structure. tRNAs have two regions of fundamental functional importance: the anti-codon, which is responsible for specific mRNA codon recognition, and the 3' end, to which the tRNAs corresponding amino acid is attached (by aminoacyl-tRNA synthetases). tRNAs cope with the degeneracy of the genetic code in two manners: having more than one tRNA (with a specific anti-codon) for a particular amino acid; and 'wobble' base-pairing, i.e. permitting non-standard base-pairing at the 3rd anti-codon position. Lineage: Bacteria; Pseudomonadati; Planctomycetota. RNAcentral also lists the same sequence under 1 other name. The record is from RNAcentral.